Molecule: long non-coding RNA, 1494 nt
Filed under: Ananas comosus (pineapple)
Lineage: Eukaryota; Viridiplantae; Streptophyta; Magnoliopsida; Poales; Bromeliaceae
Description: long non-coding RNA (ACOM_LNC018572)
Source: RNAcentral
UUUGAGAGAGAGAUAGAUAGCACGCUACCCGCUUCGUUUAUUUAAUUUAAAAAUAAAUUUAGUUAGAAAUAUGAAUCAACUAGAAUUCAAACUUGAGUCUCGGAUACCAACCACUAAACCCUUUGCCACUUGCUUUAGGGACGGUCGGUGAUUUUGAGUUGUCGUUGCAAGCAACUUUUGAUAAUAAAAGUUUGGUUUAACCCGGCAAAAGCUAAGCCAAACAGGUACUAUAUUAGUUGCAUAUGUAUGUUAGAGCAUUAGAAGAAGCUAAAAUGUUCACAUCUUAAUGAAUUCUCAUUAAUUAAGGUGGCAAAAUGUUGACCCCACCCUAAAACCCCAACCAUAAAAAGAUAUUUUAUUUGGAAUACUAAUAAUGUACCUUAUAUUUGGAUGCAUAAAUAUUUUAUUUUUAAUUCAUUUAAAAAUUUGUAGUAUCUGGUACGUAAGAAAUAUAAUCAAACGAUUUAGAAUUGAGUAAUAUAAUUUUAAUUUUUAGUCAAUUUUUGAAAUAAAAUAAAUCACUUUAUAGAUAAAAUAUAUUAUUUUAUCAAAUCAUUGAUGACGGACCUUUUAAUCAGUAAAACUCAAACUUUUAACCUCCCAUUACACACACACAAAAAAAUUAUGCGGAAUAAGUUAUAUAUUCAACGAUAACUUAUUCAACAUCUACAUAGGACCUAAGUAGGUUAAAACUCGAGCUACUCCAAAUCCAAAGUUACAUAAUUUUAGAGUUGGUUCAAAUCAAGAGUAAAACAAAAUUUCAAAUUAUUUAAACCACAAACGAUGAAAAACUCAGAAUGAUUCGAACUCGAAAUGACUCGAAACUAAAAACGAUUCGAGAGCAAACCCCCAUAAAUUGAACCUAAAAUAAUCUGAAAUUUCGGUGUAAUAAAUGGCUUGAAUUAAACAGGGGUGGAGCCCCAGCUCGGUUAGGUUCAAUGGACCUGAACAAUUUGGACUCGCGUGUUACCUCCUAGGGUAACAGGACAAGGACUACACCAAUGUGAGUUAAUAUCCUCAUAUAUAAUACUCUUUCUUUUUCUUUUUCUUUUUACUUUUUUGGAAAAGAUGUAACAUUUAAUAUUCUCAGUAAUAUUCUCAAAAAUAUAUAUAUUGUCAUAAAAAAUAUAGUUAAACGGACAAUGGACAUCUCUGUAAUAUUAAACAGAGACAUGUUGUGACUUAGCUUUAUAAAAAAUAAAAUUAUCACCAGCUGCUAAAAUAGUUGGUUAAAAUUGUUAUCCAAGGAGUCGCUGAUUUGAAUUAAGAAUACUUCAAAAAAAAUCUAAGAAUUAAAAAAAGUUGCCUACAUGUCUACUAAUUAAUAUAUAUAUAAAAAAAAAAGCUGCUUCAAAAGUUAUUGCUAUAUUUGACAAAAUUUUUUGAAUAUAAAUAGAAAAAAAAUGGUAUGUUUAUAACGCAAAGAGGGUUGUAGGAUUACAAGCUAGCUUAAUUCUUCCCCCCUAGGAUUUAAUAAACUCUUAUGAAUUUUAA